UACAGCGGGAGAAAUUUUGAGAAAUAUGGAUACCAGCGUUUCUCCUUGCGAAAAUUUCUACAACUACGCUUGUGGGAAGUAUAAAACUCAUCUACAGCUGAGUGCCACAACUGGUCAUUACGAUCACUUCAAAGAGAUCGAAUCGGUCGUCAAUCAACGACUACAAGACAUCAUUUCUGAACCAAUUUCUGGCAACGACAUGGAAUCUUUGAAAAAAGCAAAGAUAGCUUUCCGAGCUUGCAUGAAUCCAGGCCGCAAUAGCACAGGGUUGACGGAAAUGCUAUCGAUUCUAAGACAGCAAGGAGGAUGGCCCAUGGCAAUGACAUUUACAAGAGACUGGAAUUCAGUUUCGUGGCAUGAAAUCGAUAAGAAGUAUGUCGAUCUCGUUGGUGAAUCCGCAUUUUUUCGUUUUAAUGUCGAGCCUGAUGACAUUUACCCUAAACGAGCCUUGGUGCUCAAACCAGGGGUCUCUACUUUGCCGACACGUAUACUUCAAAAUGCAUGGAGCCACUCGGGCAAAAUAGAAACCUACCGCAAAUUCAUCGUUGAAGUUGCCAAGCGAUUCGCCGAAGAAUUCAACCUUCCCGAAAGGAAUAUUAUGACGGACGUAGAAGAUAUGUUGGCUUUAGAAACCAAAUUAGCACAGUUGCAAGACACCGCAAAGCAGAGCAUGUACAGAUUUUCGAAGCGGAAAAGCCUAACCAUGUCGGAGUUUGUCCAACGACAAACUAAACCGGGAUCAAAGAUAAAUUGGAAGAGCACCAUCGAAAGCUUUCUCGCGAAAGCUAAUGUCAAAUACGAUCCUUGGGGGAAGAUAAUAGUAUCCGAUACGGCUUAUUUUGAUUUGUUGGAGGAAAUCUUGUCGGAAGAGUCGCCUAGAGUAGUAGUUAAUUACAUUCAUUGGCAAUUCGUUCGUCGUUUUCUGGGAAGUAUCAAUUCUGAGUUACAGUUUCUCGACCUUCUAAUGCGGAGCGAAACAUUAAAAAAAAAGGAAGAUAUAUCAGAAGAAAUGGAAUGCCUAGAGAAGAAUCCUGCGCAUUUCGCAAUUGUUCAUCAAUAUCUGAAGAAACACGUUCCAAAAGAGAGCGAAGACGUCGUGAAAGAAAUGGUUGUAGAUGUAAAGAAAAUAUUGGAACGGCAAGUCGAUGGAGCUUCUUGGUUGGACAGAAAAGGGAAACAGGCGUCGAAGAUAAAAGUAGAGCGUUUAAAAGGAUUUGUCGGGCCUCCUUCGUGGGUACGAAACUCCGUCCUGGUUAAUCAAUAUUAUCAAAAGUUAGAAACUGGACACAUCCACCUCAGAAACGUCUUCAAUGCGAAGAUGCAAGCAAUACGAAAUAUGCUCGGUCUGUUGGAGCAGCCAGUAAAUCAACCCGAAGAUUCAGUCAUAUGGUCCAGAGGAGUUAAAAAAGUGAACGCACAUUAUAGCCGCAGUCACAACUAUUUGUUAAUAUCACUAGGAGUGAUGCAGCCACCAUUUUUUCUUAAAGACGUUCCCGAAAAUAUCCAGUUCGGGGCUUACGGUGCAGUUAUGGGUCAUGAGUUGGCUCACAGUUUCGAUAACUUAGCCCGCGAGAUUGCCUUUGAUGGCUCGCGUAUGCCGUGGUCCAGCAAAUCGAUUAAAGCAUAUCGAGAACGAGCACAAUGUUGGAUCGAUCAAUUUAACAAGUAUCAAUUUAAAGACUUGCAAACAUUUAAUCGAACCGUUUACAGCAACGGUGCAGUAACCGAAAAGGAGAACAUGGCUGACACUGUCGGAAUGCAACUGACCUACGCCGCUUUCAAAGCCAGAGAGAAGGAUUAUCAAAAACUGCCUGGUCUGAGCACCUACUCUGACGAUCAGUUGUUCUUUUUGUCAUUCGCAAAUAUUUGGUGCGAGUAUAGGAAUUCGGAGAAUUUGUUGUUCUUCUCAAAGUUACCUAGCCAACACAGUUUGGCGGAACACCGAGUUAUCGGCACUUUAUCGAACAUGAAUGGUUUUGCCGAAGCAUUCGAGUGUCCAAAGAACAGUCCCAUGAACCCGUUACAGAAGUGCAACUUAUGGCAAUGAGGAUACUUUUUUUAUUUUCGAUUAUUCGUUAAAAUUGAUUACCCAUCUCACACCCGGAAAUUAAACCUGCUCGUAUAAAUGACUAGCACAAUGACCUCGAACUAGCUGAAAGGAAAAGAGUUCAUCAGGCAGC
This is an RNA transcript of Orussus abietinus, 2180 nucleotides long. It is a transcript of the gene named membrane metallo-endopeptidase-like 1, with no coding region annotated. NCBI's taxonomy places the organism in Eukaryota, Metazoa, Arthropoda, Insecta, Hymenoptera, Orussidae. The transcript is spliced from 17 exons. The record is from RefSeq and is a predicted model, not a curated record.